This 257-nucleotide ribosomal RNA is filed under the name uncultured bacterium. RNAcentral describes it as "partial small subunit ribosomal RNA". It matches the Rfam family "Bacterial small subunit ribosomal RNA", at positions 26 to 285 of the family's 1533-position model. The record is from RNAcentral.
AGGACGAACGCUGGCGGCGUGCUUAACACAUGCAAGUCGAGCGAGGCUCCUCCUUCGGGAGGAUGCCCUAGCGGCGAACGGGUGAGUAACACGUAGGCAACCUGCCCCUAGCUCUGGGAUAACUCCGGGAAACCGGGGCUAAUACCGGAUACGACCUCUGAGGGCAUCCUCCGGAGGUGGAAAGAUUUAUCGGCUAAGGAUGGGCCCAGGCCUAUCAGCUUGUUGGUGGGUAACGCCUACCAAGGCGACGACGGGUA